CUGCAAGCUCAAGUGCAGAGGGUGGAUAAAGGUAGUGGGGCUUUCCAGCGCAGAGGGCAGAAAAAAUAGUUACAGAGGGGGUUAAGAGUGAGUGACGUCAAAAGAUACAGAAAGGAAAGAAAAAAAAAUGAUUCCCCUUACUGCAGCGGAUGAACUGAGACACCCCACAAAAAGACAAAGCAAGCAAGCGUGACAGACAGAAAGAAAGAAAAGAGAAGAAGACAACUGACGCAAUAGCUCGGGUCAGCAUGACCGAAUAAUCAUCAAUUCCUUGGCAACUUACAUGACCGGAUCAAGACAUCACUUCCAUAAUUGGUGUUAAGGGGUGUACAAGUCAACAGACUUCAUAUGACCACACAAAACUGUUCAAACUGAAAGGACCAAAUCGAGAAAACACUGAACGUAGCCAAGAUGGGAGAUGUGAAAUGCAGCACAUGUCCAAAAGGAAAAUAUAUGUUUGCCAACUGCAAUGCCACAUUGGAUACAGUGUGUAAAACCUGCCCACGGCGUACAUUUAUUGAUGAGGAAAACAAACUGAGCCAGUGUCGAGCCUGCAGGGAGUGCUCCAGCACCAGCAACAUGGAGAUGGUAAAGGAGUGUGAGGAAGACAAAAACACGCAGUGCAGGUGUAAGCCAGGAUACUACUGUACACACAUAAGUGAAUCCCACUGCGAUAACUGCAGUCCGGUCUCCACGUGUCCUCCAGGGCAAGGAGUUGCCAUUCGUCACACGUUCCAGAAAAACACUGUGUGCAGUCCCUGCCCAGAGGGAACCUACAGUGAUGUGGACGACUACGUUUCCAGCUGCAAAAAUUAUACAAGUUGUGAUGAUCUGGGUCGACAUCUGAAGGUUCCUGGGACCAGCCAAUCAGAUGUUGUGUGUGGACAAUUUAAAGCAUCUUGUUCUUGGAUGUUGCCUGCUAGUCUGUGGGCAGGGAUCGUGAUUACUGCCGUGAUUAUAUUUCUGAUCCUGUUUAUAGUUUAUUGGAGAAACAAACGUCAGUCAAAAAGAUUAGAGAUUUCUUUAAGCCACAUCUCGCCAGUGUUUCCUCCAGACAUCCUAAAAUACCCUGCAGACUGUGAUGUGGAGAAGAAUGCAGAACAUCAGCAGCUCACACAUUUAGGUAAACUGUAUGACUAUAAAUGUGUAAAUGUAGGCCAGGUCUAUUUCUCAGCUUCAGUCAGUCCUGUUUUGAUUCAGUUCAAUUCAAUAACUGUGUAAAGUUCAUCAAUUAUGGAACAAGUUCAGUUCAGCUCAACUUAAAACAGUAAUGUUGUUAUUCAGCUCAAUGCUGAUUCAGUUCAAUCAGUGUUGCUUCUGAAAGCACGUCUAAUAUUUCUAAAGCUGUGACCUGGAAAUCUUUCAGAUAACUUUACACAGCAUUCUAGAAUCUCACCAAACAUUCCCACAGUACACAUUUAAUACAGUCAGGAGAGUUUUGAAAUAAGCAAUGCCGUAUUUUGUAAUGACUUCAACUAUUGCUUUGUGUCACUGUGUAAAUCAUUACAAAGUUUCCUUUGACCUGUUAUCAACUCGCAAACGAAGGGUACAAACCACAUAUAUGUUGUCUUUCAUUGCAUGCCAAUUAACCAAAUAGGUUUAGCUGUUUUGGCCUCCCACACUUUCCUCCAGCAGUUAAUUUGCCGUGGGCGAUAAAGUCUCUGAUGUCUCUGCCAAACAUGGGUCUGAAUCGCAUACUGUUGUAAAACCAGUCAUAUCGUGAAAACAGUUGGAAAGUACCCAGACAUGGACAGCAGCAUACAGUGUGAUGGAUUUUUGCCAACGCUGACAGUGUCAGAGAAAUACAGGCCCUCAGCUGCCGCAAAUGGAUAUACAGACAGCAUCACAUGCCACUCGAACUAUCAGUCGG
RNA transcript from Cyprinus carpio (common carp), 1870 nucleotides. It is a transcript of the gene named tumor necrosis factor receptor superfamily member 5, with no coding region annotated. The record is from RefSeq and is a predicted model, not a curated record. NCBI's taxonomy places the organism in Eukaryota, Metazoa, Chordata, Actinopteri, Cypriniformes, Cyprinidae.